Molecule: ribosomal RNA, 460 nt
Filed under: uncultured bacterium
Lineage: Bacteria
Description: partial 16S ribosomal RNA
Rfam family: Bacterial small subunit ribosomal RNA
Source: RNAcentral
CCUACGGGUGGCUGCAGUGAGGAAUAUUGGUCAAUGGGCGCGAGCCUGAACCAGCCAAGUCGCGUGAGGGAUGACGGCCCUAUGGAUUGUAAACUUCUUUUGUAAAGGAAUAAAACGAGGCACGCGUGCCUUUUUGCAUGUACUUUAUGAAAAAGGAUCGGCUAACUCCGUGCCAGCAGCCGCGGUAAUACGGAGGAUCCGAGCGUUAUCCGGAUUUAUUGGGUUUAAAGGGAGCGUAGAUGGGUUGUUAAGUCAGGUGUGAAAUUUUGCGGCUCAACCGUAAAAGUGCAAUUGAUACUGGCAGUCUUGAGUACAGGUGAGGUAGGCGGAAUGCGUGGUGUAGCGGUGAAAUGCAUAGAUAUCACGAAGAACCCCGAUUGCGAAGGCAGCUUACUAAACUGUGACUGACAUUGAUGCACGAAAGUGUGGGUAUCAAACAGGAUUAGAUACCCUGGUAGUC